UAGGUGGGAGGCUUUGAAGUGUGGACGCCAGUCUGCAUGGAGCCGGCCUUGAAAUACCACCCUUUAAUGUUUGAUGUUCUAACGUGGACCCGUGAUCCGGGUUGCGGACAGUGUCUGGUGGGUAGUUUGACUGGGGCGGUCUCCUCCUAAAGAGUAACGGAGGAGCACGAAGGUUGGCUAAUCCUGGUCGGACAUCAGGAGGUUAGUGCAAUGGCAUAAGCCAGCUUGACUGCGAGCGUGACGGCGCGAGCAGGUGCGAAAGCAGGUCAUAGUGAUCCGGUGGUUCUGAAUGGAAGGGCCAUCGCUCAACGGAUAAAAGGUACUCCGGGGAUAACAGGCUGAUACCGCCCAAGAGUUCAUAUCGACGGCGGUGUUUGGCACCUCGAUGUCGGCUCAUCACAUCCUGGGGCUGAAGUAGGUCCCAAGGGUAUGGCUGUUCGCCAUUUAAAGUGGUACGCGAGCUGGGUUUAGAACGUCGUGAGACAGUUCGGUCCCUAUCUGCCGUGGGCGCUGGAGAACUGAGGGGGGCUGCUCCUAGUACGAGAGGACCGGAGUGGACGCAUCACUGGUGUUCGGGUUGUCAUGCCAAUGGCACUGCCCGGUAGCUAAAUGCGGAAGAGAUAAGUGCUGAAAGCAUCUAAGCACGAAACUUGCCCCGAGAUGAGUUCUCCCUGACCCUUUAAGGGUCCUGAAGGAACGUUGAAGACGACGACGUUGAUAGGCCGGGUGUGUAAGCGCAGCGAUGCGUUGAGCUAACCGGUACUAAUGAACCGUGAG
RNAcentral lists this ribosomal RNA (777 nucleotides) under Shigella sonnei. RNAcentral describes it as "partial 23S ribosomal RNA". It matches the Rfam family "Bacterial large subunit ribosomal RNA", at positions 2144 to 2915 of the family's 2925-position model. Lineage: Bacteria; Pseudomonadati; Pseudomonadota; Gammaproteobacteria; Enterobacterales; Enterobacteriaceae. The record is from RNAcentral.